CGAGUCGCCCCGAGCGUUAUCCGGAAUCAGUUGGGCGUAAAGGGUGUGUAGGUGGUUGUGUUAGUCGAUUGUUAAAACCUGGGGCUCAACCCCAGACAUGCGAUCGAAACGGCACGACUAGAGGAUGCGAGGGAUGUAUGGAACUCAUGGAGUAGGGGUGAAAUCCGUUGAUAUCAUGGGGAACACCAAAAGCGAAGGCAGUACAUUGGCGCACUCCUGACACUGAAACACGAAAGCGUGGGUAGCGAAUGGGAUUAGAUACCCCAGUAGUCCACGCCCUAAACGAUGACAACUAGGUUUUCGGAGUAUCGACCCUCUGAGAGCCGUAGCUAACGCGUUAAGUUGUCCGCCUGGGUAGUACGACCGCAAGGUUA
This 374-nucleotide ribosomal RNA is filed under the name uncultured organism. Its description in RNAcentral is "bacterial SSU rRNA". It matches the Rfam family "Bacterial small subunit ribosomal RNA", at positions 526 to 896 of the family's 1533-position model. The record is from RNAcentral.